Molecule: transfer RNA, 58 nt
Filed under: Bos taurus (domestic cattle)
Lineage: Eukaryota; Metazoa; Chordata; Mammalia; Artiodactyla; Bovidae
Also listed under: 2 other names
Rfam family: tRNA
About the family: Transfer RNA (tRNA) molecules are approximately 80 nucleotides in length.
Source: Rfam by way of RNAcentral
UGAUCCAGUGGCUAAGAUGCUGCACUCCCAAUGCAGAGAGCCCAGGUUUGAUCCCUGG